This 253-nucleotide ribosomal RNA is filed under the name uncultured bacterium. RNAcentral's name for it is "partial 16S ribosomal RNA". It matches the Rfam family "Bacterial small subunit ribosomal RNA", at positions 524 to 776 of the family's 1533-position model. The record is from RNAcentral.
UACGGGGGGGGCAAGCGUUGUUCGGAAUUACUGGGCGUAAAGGGCUCGUAGGCGGCCAACUAAGUCAGACGUGAAAUCCCUCGGCUUAACCGGGGAACUGCAUCUGAUACUGGAUGGCUUGAGUUCGGGAGAGGGAUGCGGAAUUCCAGGUGUAGCGGUGAAAUGCGUAGAUAUCUGGAAGAACACCGGUGGCGAAGGCGGCAUCCUGGACCGACACUGACGCUGAGGAGCGAAAGCCAGGGGAGCAAACGGG